Molecule: long non-coding RNA, 2858 nt
Filed under: Citrus x clementina
Lineage: Eukaryota; Viridiplantae; Streptophyta; Magnoliopsida; Sapindales; Rutaceae
Description: Citrus clementina (C. clementina) long non-coding RNA (CCLE_LNC006710)
Source: RNAcentral
CUAAUGAAUUAAAUUAUUAAUGUAGAAUUUACCCAAAUAUAUAAUUUAGACCAUUUAUUUAUUUAUGGUUGAAAGUAUGAAAGAAAAUAAAAAAAAAUAAUUAAAAAAAUCGUGUCAAUGAUUCAUUGUCUGAAAUUGGAAUGCCCAUCAGGCUCUUCAGUGGAGAGAACAAGCCCACCUCAUCGGCUACCGGGUUCCACUUAUUCAAGAAUUGGACAUUUCUAGCCCAUAGAGCGAGUCCACAUGUUUAAUGCUUGUGGGGCCCAUCGUGGCCCACAAACUGUGGGCAAGAAACCUACAUUUCUAAAAUAUCUCCUUAUUGGUCAAUUAAAAGAUAAUCUAGUAACUUGUAGAUGUGAAUGUGAGAGCUGACUCAAAAUUUUGUAAACCACUGAAAAUUUCAUGGCCGUGCUUGAAAAUGCAGAUCACAGAGUUCCUAUUUUUGUUUGCUUAUGGAAAUAUUGUACGUGAAAUUUGUUUUGGAUUUUCUUUGAAUUUUGUGGCUAAUGUAAAAGAAAACACAUUUUCUUAUAAUAAUCUUAUUAUUGUCUAUUAUCUCAUGGCGGUGGGGCUUGUGGAAAAUUUUUAUUAACUUUGGAUAAAACUUAUAAGUUAUUAUAAUUGUCUAUUUUCAAUUUUCCAACUUUCAAUACCGGCAAAAAUUAAGAAAAAGAACUUGAAAAUGAUUCUUGCCUUCAGGGUUUUGAUUUUGAGCGGUGAAAAUUGGGUAUAAAAAUAUUAUUAUAGAAUACUUUGAUGCUCAAGUUAAGAAAUACUCUUAAUUUGUAGAGUCUUGAUUGUAACUUUUCAUUGAACUCAAGAAAGUAUUCUUCAGUCAAUUUUGUCUGUCAGUAUCAGAGUUCAAAAUCUAUUUUUAGGACACAUGACAUGCUAGAGGAUUUUAAUGUCAAACCUCUAGACAGAUUAAUGUUAUUAGACAAACAUAAUUAUUUCAAAAUCCUUCUGUAUAAUAGCUUCGAUAGAACUCAUGGACAUGCAUGAACCAUUACGUACACUCGUCAUUGGUUUUAAAAAUUCUAUGUUAUAUGUCAUUGAUUUUAAAGAUUUUAUACUAAAUGAAUUAGUCUCUAAUGCGAAAUCAGCAAAGCUUUGAAAUGUGGAUUCAAUGUUUCAUGAUCACAUAAAUAAGUUAUGUGGCAGCAUAAAGCCGUUUUAAUUAAAAAUUUUAUUUGAAAAUUUUUGCUAACUUUUUUUCUUUUAUGUUUAUCUUUAAUUAUUUCUAUUAGUCGAGAGAGUUUGAUUGUUUUUCAAAAGUAUUCAUAAGUUUAAAUUUAAGAAAGGCAAAAGGGCAAAAAAUAUUUUAGACUCCACCUAUCCUUAUUUUUGGGGAAAAAAAAGACUUAUCGUUACAUUAAUAUGGAAUAUCUUUUGGUUUUGUGAAAUUAUCUCCCAAUUAUCUAAAAAGAUUGAAAGUGUAAGUAGCUAUCAUAAAUUUUUGUAUAAUACUGUAUUUUAGAAUCACUUUAAGUUUUAAUUUAUAUCAACUAACUACUUUUUCGUUAACUUCAUUAACCACCAUUAAAGAACUCAUUUAUAAAGGUAAGACAAUGUUUUUGAGAGACAAACCAUUUCCACGCUAGCCAAAAAGGCACCGGCGCGGAACGGCAGAAACGCCCGAAGCCCGACCAUAUUUCCAUUAUUCCAUAUUCCAUGAUGGGCCUGGAGCUACAAUUUUUCAGGUAACUUUGGAGUCCCUAGUCUUUUCUGAUUUCACAAGUAAUAGCAUGAUUAUCCAUUUGUUUCAAAUAGCCGCGUAACCGCACGGGAAAUUUAAUCGAGCAAGAGCACCCGUUCCUGACAUUGCAUGCAGCGUAGGGUAUCUGUAUAAUUCUUAACUUCCAUACACGCGGAGGUAUUUUCUUUACGGAUUCUUAACUUGACCAUGCACCUGCCUCGGAUUAUACCCUUCUCAUUAUAUAAGAUUUGCAUUCCCUUCAAUAAAAUUGUGAUAAAGAAUUUGUAAUAUAGUAUUACAUUUCUCUGUUUCUCAAUUAUAAGUUCAAGUCUUUUUUAAAAAAAUUAAUAGACAUGUUUUGGAAUGCAAAAUCCAAUAACAAAAUAAAUUUGUCUUAGAUUAACUUAUGUACUUAAAAUUAACAAUAUUGACUUGGUCAUUAGAUACAUGGUGAUAUAUGACCAAAAUCUUUUAAUUAACCCCAUAAAUCCGACUAAAGUGAUAUUCAUCAAUUGAAUAAUAAAAUAGAAUAAUAAAAAAUUUUACCAGUUAUGAAUCUUAUUGAAUUUUGUGUGAAUUAAACACAUAAAAUUAUAUAUAAAAAAAAAGUACGUGGACUGUUUGUUUUGAACAUUUCAUGCAGUUUAGGGUAUCCAUAUAAUUAGUUCUUUGCUUCAUUCUUAGCCGACAUGACAAUACACUUGGUUUGGAUUCAAUACCAAAAUGCAAGAUUAGCCUUUUCUUCAACAAAACCUAUGAAGAGAUUUGAGAAUUUGCAUUCUGAUAUUACAAUUAUCUGUAGUUCUCAUCUUUGGUUUCUCACUUCAUCCAAGAAAGGUCAAAAAGGAAUUACCCAGCCCUGCCCGGUUACUCCAGCAAAUUGAAGUAAUUUUGGUGGAAUAUUUAGUAUCUGCUCUCUCUCUGCUCAUUGUUUUAAUUAAUUUAUUAACAACAUUAUCUGUGUAAUCUCUUUGUCAGAAUCAUUGAUCAAAAAGCCUAAGACAUGGAGGCCAUUUGGAUUAAUUCUCUUUAAAGUAGAACUAGAAAUCAGCCCAGGCACCUUAUACAUUAUACAUUAUUAUUAUUAUUAUUAUUAUUAUUAUUAUUAUUAUUAUUAUUUUCAUGUUAGUUUUUAGACUGAACGCAUGUACACUAGUACAAU